AUCUGCAACCCUCAAAGCAACAAAACAAUGGAGAGACACAAGUUUCAUUCCAGAAAUCAAAGACAAGGUGAGAGCAUCGAGUCGUUUUUCAGUGAUCUGAGAAUUAAAGCCAAGAGCUGCCAUUUUGGAGAUUUAGCUGAUGAGCUAAUCUGUGACCGAAUAGUCUGUGGCAUCACCAAUGAUUCUCUGAGGAAGACACUUUUGAGAGACGGUGACUUGAGCUUAAAUAAAGCUAUUUCCAUCUGUCGUAUUCACGAAAUGACAGAGGAAAGCAGCAAGACACUCGGUAUAAAAGCUACCAGUGUUGACAGCAUAAAGCCAUUUUCACACAGAAAGCAGCAGCCUAAGCUACAACAGCUGUCACUGCACAGGACUAUAUCGAACUGUAAUAACUGUGGGGGCAGCCAUGCAGCUAAGCGGGAAAAGUGUCCAGCUUUUGAACAACAGUGUCACAACUGUAAAAAGUUUAACCAUUUCAAAAAAUGCUGUAAGUCCACACCACGCUGCCGGCCCAGUUUCAGUAAAAGGACUCUCAGACACUCAGUGCAUGAUGUAGCAAUAGAGGAGCCUGCCACACUCAGUGAAGAUUCCUUUUAUGUGGAUGGCGUUGACGUCGAUAAGAACAUCGAUGUCAUAAAUCCUCAAAAUGAUAAAAAAGAUGAAGGAUUUGUAACAGUACACAUCAACAACAAGCCCAUUGAAAUGAAAGUUGACACAGGUGCUAAAUGCAAUGUGAUGUCUCAAAAGACAUAUAGCAAAGUUUUAAAGCUGAAGCAACCUGUAGUUAAAGAAAACGCCACAAACCUUGUUGCUUAUGGUGGCAGUAAGAUUGAAACUAAGGGCCUUGUUACAUUAUCCUGCAGUUUAAAGGGACAGUGCCAUGCUUUACUAUUCUUCAUUGUAGACAGAGAAGUACAGCCUCUACUUGGAUUUCGUGCCUGUGUUGACAUGGGAAUUGUGACAAUGAGCCAUGAUGUUCACCAGCUCACUAUGGACACUAACACAGAUUUUACAAGGCAGAUCAAAACACAGCACAGUGAUUUAUUCAAUGAUGAACUUGGAGAGCUGCCUAUCACGUACUCUAUGACAGUGGAUCCCAGCAUUCAGCCUGUGGUCCGCCCUGCUCACCGCAUUCCAGUCGCGAUGCAAGAGAGAGUUAAAGCUGAACUAGAUCGUAUGCAAAUCAUAGGUGUAAUAACACCUGUCACAGAGCCCACUGAUUGGGUUUCAUCGAUGGUGGUAGCACAUAAGAAAGACAAAGAACAGAUCAGAUUGUGCAUCAACCCAAAAGACCUUAAUACAGCUCUAAAAAGACCCCACUAUCCCAUGCGUAGUGUUGAGGAAGUCGCCGCACAGAUGGCUGGUGCGACUGUGUUUUCAGUCUUAGACGCUAAAAAUUCCUUCUGGCAAAUACAGCUCGAUAAGAAAUCUUCAAUGCUAACAACAUUCAGCACACCCUUUGGACGCUAUAGAUUUCUACGCAUGCCUUUUGGCAUAAACUCUGCCAGCGAAGUGUUUCAGCGUUCUAUGGAGCAGCUAUUUUCUGGCUAUGCAUGCUCGGUGAUUGUCGAUGACAUCAUCAUCGGAGGU
This 1590-nucleotide long non-coding RNA is filed under the name Gouania willdenowi (blunt-snouted clingfish). Its description in RNAcentral is "lncRNA (ENSGWIG00000021704.1)". Lineage: Eukaryota; Metazoa; Chordata; Actinopteri; Blenniiformes; Gobiesocidae. The record is from RNAcentral.